UGGGGAAUAUUGGACAAUGGGCGCAAGCCUGAUCCAGCCAUGCCGCGUGAGUGAUGAAGGCCCUAGGGUUGUAAAGCUCUUUCACCGGUGAAGAUAAUGACGGUAACCGGAGAAGAAGCCCCGGCUAACUUCGUGCCAGCAGCCGCGGUAAUACGAAGGGGGCUAGCGUUGUUCGGAAUUACUGGGCGUAAAGCGCACGUAGGCGGACAUUUAAGUCAGGGGUGAAAUCCCGGGGCUCAACCCCGGAACUGCCUUUGAUACUGGGUGUCUAGAGUUCGAGAGAGGUGAGUGGAAUUCCGAGUGUAGAGGUGAAAUUCGUAGAUAUUCGGAGGAACACCAGUGGCGAAGGCGGCUCACUGGCUCGAUACUGACGCUGAGGUGCGAAAGCGUGGGGAGCAAAACAGGAUUAGAUACCCUGGUAGUCCACGCCGUAAAACGAUGGAAGCCAGCUGUCGGCAAGUUUACUUGUCGGUGGCGCAGCUAACGCAUUAAGCUUCCCGCCUGGGGAGUACGGUCGCAAGAUUAAAACUCAAAGGAAUUGACGGGGGUCAUAGCUGUUUCCUG
RNAcentral lists this ribosomal RNA (564 nucleotides) under uncultured bacterium. Its description in RNAcentral is "partial 16S ribosomal RNA". It matches the Rfam family "Bacterial small subunit ribosomal RNA", at positions 355 to 941 of the family's 1533-position model. The record is from RNAcentral.